UCGGAACACAGGUGCUGCAUGGCUGUCGUCAGCUCGUGUCGUGAGAUGUUGGGUUAAGUCCCGCAACGAGCGCAACCCUUAUCAUUAGUUGCUACGCAAGGGCACUCUAAUGGAGACUGCCGGUGACAACCGGAGGAAGGUGGGGAUGACGUCAAGUCCUCAUGGCCCUUAUGGGUAGGGCGUUCACACGUCAUACAAUGGUCGGUACAGAGGGUUGCCAAGCCGCGAGGCGGGAGCCAAUCCCACAAAGCCGAUCGUAGUCCGGAUUGUUCUCUGCAACUCCGAGAGCAUGAAGUCGGAAUCGCUAGUAAUCGCAGGUCAGCAUACUGCGGUGAAUACGUUCCCGGGUCUU
RNAcentral lists this ribosomal RNA (352 nucleotides) under uncultured Thiobacillus sp. RNAcentral's name for it is "bacterial SSU rRNA". It matches the Rfam family "Bacterial small subunit ribosomal RNA", at positions 1027 to 1382 of the family's 1533-position model. The record is from RNAcentral. Lineage: Bacteria; Pseudomonadati; Pseudomonadota; Betaproteobacteria; Nitrosomonadales; Thiobacillaceae.